CUUUGAACUUCCAAGUUCAAAUCACUUAUACAUAUUACCUUAUUCUUACAUUUUCGUAGUUUACCCUUAACUAGGGGUCACAUAGAAACCCUUAAGUAGCAAAAAUAAGAAGAAAUAUAUGCAUAUACAAAAAGAUGAUACCAAUAUUCAGAUUCAUAUCUCUCGUUUCAAAUUACUUACUGAAGUUUGCCUGUACAAGAUUGCCAAAGGAAUCAUAUUGUUACUACCUCCGGAAUGGAGUUCCCAACUGAAUUGGAUGACGACGUAGACCCCCCCCCCCCCGGCGAAUUGCUUGUCACACAAUUUUGGCUUUGGUGGUUUUAGGGAAAAUGAAAAAGGUAACCAAGUAAUCCUGCAGCCAAUGCCGCAACUCGAUUGUGGUACUAUGGACGGUGGAACGGAAGACAAAAUUGAAGUGAUUAUGGCUCCGGCUCUAGAGGCCAACUAACUUGGCUCAAGAUCAUGUUGUGGCCACUACCAGUCGCGAUUGUAAUUGGCAUAUGGGCAUAUUACAUGCAUGACGAGGAGAGUAUCGCAAAGGGAUCCGACGGUUUCUUCAAAUCUUUGUAUCUCACUGUCCCGAAUACUGGUGUUUUGAUGUUGAUACAUUACUUUUUUUUUUUUUUUUUUUU
Molecule: small RNA, 632 nt
Filed under: Malus domestica (apple)
Lineage: Eukaryota; Viridiplantae; Streptophyta; Magnoliopsida; Rosales; Rosaceae
Description: sRNA MD05G0132700
Source: RNAcentral